AGAGUUUGAUCAUGGCUCAGGAUGAACGCUGGCGGCGCGCCUAACACAUGCAAGUCGAACGGAGAUAUCUGUAGCAAUAUAGGUAUCUCAGUGGCGGACGGGUGAGUAACGCGUGAGGAACCUGCCUUUCGGAGGGGAAUAACACAUCGAAAGAUGUGCUAAUACCGCAUAACGUCAUUGGGUGGCAUCAUCUGAUGACCAAAGGAGCAAUCCGCCGAAAGAUGGCCUCGCGUCCGAUUAGAUAGUUGGUGAGGUAAUGGCCCACCAAGUCUGCGAUCGGUAGCCGGACUGAGAGGUUGAACGGCCACAUUGGGACUGAGACACGGCCCAGACUCCUACGGGAGGCAGCAGUGGGGGAUAUUAGACAAUGGGGGAAACCCUGAUCUAGCGACGCCGCGUGAGGGAAGAAGGUCUUCGGAUUGUAAACCUCUGUCUUCGGGGAAGAUAAUGACGGUACCCGAGGAGGAAGCUCCGGCUAACUACGUGCCAGCAGCCGCGGUAAUACGUAGGGAGCAAGCGUUAUCCGGAUUUAUUGGGUGUAAAGGGUGCGUAGGCGGGAAGGCAAGUUGAAUGUGAAAUACCGGGGCUCAACUCCGGGGCUGCGUUCAAAACUACUUUUCUUGAGUACAGCAGAGGCAAGCGGAAUUCCCAGUGUAGCGGUAAUAUGCGUAGAUAUUGGGAGGAACACCGGUGGCGAAGGCGGCUUGCUGGGCUGCAACUGACGCUGAAGCACGAAAGUGUGGGGAGCAAACAGGAUUAGAUACCCUGGUAGUCCACGCCCUAAACGAUGCACACUAGUUGUUGUGAGGCUAGACCUUGCAGUAAUGCAGUUAACACAUUAAGUGUGCCGCCUGGGGAGUACGGUCGCAAGAUUAAAACUCAAAGGAAUAGACGGGGACCCGCACAAGCGGUGGAGCAUGUGGUUUAAUUCGACGAUACACGAAGAACCUUACCUGGACUUGACAUAGUAAGAACUUUCUAGAGAUAGAUU
This 991-nucleotide ribosomal RNA is filed under the name uncultured bacterium. Its description in RNAcentral is "bacterial SSU rRNA". It matches the Rfam family "Bacterial small subunit ribosomal RNA", at positions 8 to 1012 of the family's 1533-position model. The record is from RNAcentral.